AGAGUUUGAUCAUGGCUCAGAUUGAACGCUGGCGGCAGGCCUAACACAUGCAAGUCGAGCGGAUGAAAGGAGCUUGCUCCUUGAUUCAGCGGCGGACGGGUGAGUAAUGCCUAGGAAUCUGCCUGGUAGUGGGGGACAACGUUUCGAAAGGAACGCUAAUACCGCAUACGUCCUACGGGAGAAAGCAGGGGACCUUCGGGCCUUGCGCUAUCAGAUGAGCCUAAGUCGGAUUAGCUAGUUGGUGAGGUAAUGGCUCACCAAGGCGACGAUCCGUAACUGGUCUG
Molecule: ribosomal RNA, 284 nt
Filed under: uncultured Pseudomonadaceae bacterium
Lineage: Bacteria; Pseudomonadati; Pseudomonadota; Gammaproteobacteria; Pseudomonadales; Pseudomonadaceae
Description: partial 16S ribosomal RNA
Rfam family: Bacterial small subunit ribosomal RNA
Source: RNAcentral